RNAcentral lists this ribosomal RNA (998 nucleotides) under Salmonella enterica subsp. enterica serovar Bovismorbificans. RNAcentral's name for it is "partial 23S ribosomal RNA". It matches the Rfam family "Bacterial large subunit ribosomal RNA", at positions 582 to 1503 of the family's 2925-position model. The record is from RNAcentral. Lineage: Bacteria; Pseudomonadati; Pseudomonadota; Gammaproteobacteria; Enterobacterales; Enterobacteriaceae.
CCCUUUGGGGUGUGACUGCGUACCUUUUGUAUAAUGGGUCAGCGACUUAUAUUCUGUAGCAAGGUUAACCGAAUAGGGGAGCCGGAGGGAAACCGAGUCUUAAUUGGGCGUUAAGUUGCAGGGUAUAGACCCGAAACCCGGUGAUCUAGCCAUGGGCAGGUUGAAGGUUGGGUAACACUAACUGGAGGACCGAACCGACUAAUGUUGAAAAAUUAGCGGAUGACCUGUGGCUGGGGGUGAAAGGCCAAUCAAACCGGGAGAUAGCUGGUUCUCCCCGAAAGCUAUUUAGGUAGCGCCUCGUGAAUUCAUCUCCGGGGGUAGAGCACUGUUUCGGCUAGGGGGCCAUCCCGGCUUACCAACCCGAUGCAAACUGCGAAUACCGGAGAAUGUUAUCACGGGAGACACACGGCGGGUGCUAACGUCCGUCGUGAAGAGGGAAACAACCCAGACCGCCAGCUAAGGUCCCAAAGUCAUGGUUAAGUGGGAAACGAUGUGGGAAGGCCCAGACAGCCAGGAUGUUGGCUUAGAAGCAGCCAUCAUUUAAAGAAAGCGUAAUAGCUCACUGGUCGAGUCGGCCUGCGCGGAAGAUGUAACGGGGCUAAACCAUGCACCGAAGCUGCGGCAGCGAACGUAUCACUUAAAGCGAUUCAGCGGGUUACGAUUGACGGAGCGAAGCGACGUCAAAGCGUAUACAAAGUCGAGUCGGUUUAAGGAUACGUUCGUUGGGUAGGGGAGCGUUCUGUAAGCCUGUGAAGGUGGCCUGUGAGGGUUGCUGGAGGUAUCAGAAGUGCGAAUGCUGACAUAAGUAACGAUAAAGCGGGUGAAAAGCCCGCUCGCCGGAAGACCAAGGGUUCCUGUCCAACGUUAAUCGGGGCAGGGUGAGUCGACCCCUAAGGCGAGGCCGAAAGGCGUAGUCGAUGGGAAACGGGUUAAUAUUCCCGUACUUGGUGUUACUGCGAAGGGGGGACGGAGAAGGCUAUGUUGGCCGGGCGACGGUU